This 1030-nucleotide long non-coding RNA is filed under the name Mytilus galloprovincialis (Mediterranean mussel). The record is from RNAcentral. Lineage: Eukaryota; Metazoa; Mollusca; Bivalvia; Mytilida; Mytilidae.
AUACAAGUUACGAUCAUUUGAAAACACAUAUUAAACAGCCAAAUGGGUGCACAAGAGCUAAAAUAGGAGUCAUAGAUCCUAUUGACAACAAUUAUCUGCCCAAUUUUAUUGAUUUUGUAACAUUUGUUUCAAAUAUGACCAACUUCUUAUCCAAAAUCACCAGCACCGUAUCAGGACCCACCAGCACAAUCACAGGACCCACCAGCACAGUAUCAGGACAUGAAUAAAUUGAGAAAAUGCUAAAUUUUAAUAAAUUGCAAUGUUUUUUUCACAAAAUAGUUUUGUCGUGUGGAUUGCGGUAUAGAAAGCGGACUCUAUGAGCAUUUUUGUUUAAUUUUUUCAGUUUGAGAUUUUCUGAAAAUGAGCAUUUUUGUGUUACGCUUACUGAAACAGUUUAGAGGGUCAACUUUUUAAUGGUUUACAUAGGAACCCAUAAGAAACAAAAUUGAAAAAUCUCAACUGUUUUCUUCCAUUUUUUAUGAGUGAAAACGUCAAAAAUCAUAAUUUUCGUCUUUGUUUACAUUUUUUCAUUGAUCACCAGCACCCGUCAGGACCGAAUCACCAGCACAGAACGUUCUCUCGCAGGACAACCAUACCCACCGUGCUUUCGCUACGGAUAUCACUUGUUGUGUUCGUAUCAAAAACAUAUGGAAAUUUCAAGAUAAGAAUAACAAAAUAUCGUGUUCAAUAUUCAUACGGAAAAAAACGAAUACAAUCCAGUGGUUUUGUUUAUCUGUUUCCUAUCAGCCAAAUAUAAUUGUGUGUGAUAUGUUAUCUAAUUACCCUAAAUAGAAUUUUUCGUAAAAGUAGUGUGUUUAUAAAAAUCGGCAAAGUAUAUUACCUGGAUUAGAUUCUUGGACUUGACUAAACUAAUCUGGACAGUAUUUGGACUGGACUGGCAUGUUUUUUUUUAAUGAUAAACAUUCACUUAUCAGUCAGGAUUCUACUUCGUCAAAAUUAUCUCCUCAUUACGCCAGUUCAUUUUCAUAAUCGUAGAAAUGGAAGCCAUUGUAGGGAUGACGCGCUGCCA